GUGCCUAAUACAUGCAAGUCGUACGCUUCUUUUUCACCGGAGCUUGCUCCACCGGAAAAAGAAGAGUGGCGAACGGGUGAGUAACACGUGGGUAACCUGCCCAUCAGAAGGGGAUAACACUUGGAAACAGGUGCUAAUACCGUAUAACAAUCGAAACCGCAUGGUUUUGAUUUGAAAGGCGCUUUCGGGUGUCGCUGAUGGAUGGACCCGCGGUGCAUUAGCUAGUUGGUGAGGUAACGGCUCACCAAGGCCACGAUGCAUAGCCGACCUGAGAGGGUGAUCGGCCACAUUGGGACUGAGACACGGCCCAAACUCCUACGGGAGGCAGCAGUAGGGAAUCUUCGGCAAUGGACGAAAGUCUGACGGAGCAACGCCGCGUGAGUGAAGAAGGUUUUCGGAUCGUAAAACUCUGUUGUUAGAGAAAAAAAGGAUGAGAGUAACUGUUCCCCCCUCGCCGGUAUCUAACCAGAAGCCACGGCUAACUACGUGCC
Molecule: ribosomal RNA, 491 nt
Filed under: Enterococcus durans
Lineage: Bacteria; Bacillati; Bacillota; Bacilli; Lactobacillales; Enterococcaceae
Description: bacterial SSU rRNA
Rfam family: Bacterial small subunit ribosomal RNA
Source: RNAcentral